Molecule: long non-coding RNA, 5828 nt
Organism: Nymphaea colorata (pocket water lily)
Lineage: Eukaryota; Viridiplantae; Streptophyta; Magnoliopsida; Nymphaeales; Nymphaeaceae
Exons: 3
Source: RefSeq, a predicted model, not a curated record
CGUUAGGAUUCACAGCUCACGUAUCGCGUUCUGCCUCUUCCUUGCCACGAGUUCCUCACGCAGCCACAGCCGCUGCCUUUUCGACCUUGUCGUCUCCCACGCACUUUCACUCUCCUGCUCCGGCCAGUCGCCCUCAUCUCUCUCUCGCUGCCUCCCUUGUCUCCCUCCCUCACUGCGUCUGCCCUCUCGCUCCCUCUCGAGCCCCUCCCUACCUGUGCGUGAACGCCAGUGCGGACGAGGGAACCGCAAGGUGCGAGAGCGAGGCUGCCGGCUGCUGAGAUCCCUCCAGUUGCAGCCCAUGGUCCACCUGUAGCUGCCGCGGCUCAAUUUCAAUUUGCAGAUCUAACUAUCUGCCAGACGAAACACCCACCCGCUGCUCGAUUGCAAUUUGCAGACCAUCACUAUAGACUGAUUUUGAUGUGGUUGAAGCAGUCGGGUCGAUUGAGAGACGGAGAAGAAGAAUUCUGAGGAUCGCUGGAACUUCCCUUGCUCCACCUGCUCCACUCCUAUUUUUCAUCUUCUUCUUCUUCUUCUCUCAUUCUUCCAUACGUUCACCAAGUGGCAUGUGGAACAUAAUGGUUGGCCUGAACACAUACAGUCAAAUCACAUGAUGUGUAUUUUUUUAUGAACCAUUAUGUCUUGGAGGGCUGUAGCUUCCUGGUUUUUUUUUGUUCCUCAAUGUAGUCCUUGAAGGAGGAGAAUUCCAAAACUUUUUAUGCGUUUCUGCAUUUCUCACCACUUCUAACAUCUAUUAUUUGCUGCAUAUCUCUAGAGCUGGUAACUUUGUUUCUAUACUAAAAUACGUUAGCACCACUCUUUCACAUUUGUGUGAUCAUGGCAUUGUCAGGUUGUAAAUGCUUGAUGGUUCUCUCAUACUUUUCUUCCUUAAAGUUUUCGUUAUUUAUUUAUGCUUCCUUUUUAUGAUCUAUUAUAGGUUACUUGAUGUGUAAGGAAUAAUUAUUUAUCAUGUCUCAACUAAAUGAUGUUUUGUCCAAAACAUUCACCACAUUGAUCAUGUCUAUAAAAAAUGUAUUGGAUUAAAAAUUGGAGAAUUUGUUGGCUUUCUUGUUGCCAUGCUGCCUACUUUCUGCCUCUGAAGUAAGCUGUGUGUAACUGCAUCAAAAUUUAUGUGUCUGACAUGAACUUGGGUUUAGUUGCAUCUCGGAUUUGGUUUAGAUCGAAAUGGUGCUCCUAUUUGGAGUUUCUUGAAAUGCAAUUGCAAUACCUGAGUUCUGCUAGAUUUUAGUAGGUUAACAAAUAUAUUUUAUAACACAAUGCACCUCCUGGAUCUUUUUUCACUUCACAGAACAAUACCUGAGUUCUGCAAGAUUCUCGUUCAUUCUGUUGGUACUAGAGACAGAUAUACAACUAUAGAGUUAAAGCUUCCAACUUUUGCCCUCUCCAUGGACCAUGACCACGAAUCCUGAUCUCCUCUCUCUCUCUCUCCUUAAAGAAAUUCAGCUUUUGCCUUUUCGUUUUUCUGUUUUUUGUUACCACCUCUUUGGAAUUGGCUCUCCAUUAAGACAAUGAGUGAGGAAUCACUAGGUUAUCUUCAUUUUCCAUUGCAAUCUGCAAUAGUAACAUUGUUCAAUAAUGCUUCUUUGUCCUUGUAUCGUUUCUAGUAUUGUUCCAUUCAGCCAAGGUUUCACUCAAUGAUGCUGGAAACCAGUGUGACUGAGGAUAUUCAAAAGGGAAAUGAAUUUCAUUUGUUUAUUAGGCCAUCACCAACUCAAAAGUUUGGGUAGGGCUGUUAGACAGAAUGCGAGCCUCAAUCUACUUUUGCGGCUCAUGCCAUAUGUGCAAGAAAUGAAACAUGCCUAAAGAGUACCGUGUUGGCAUGGGCAUCCACUUGGAAUGAAAGGUGCCUCCACAACAUGUUGGGGAAAACAACCAUGUCUCUAUAAUAUUGGCAUUGAUACCAUACAUUGGUAUCUCCAAGUUGUUAUAUCUACAACAGUGAUAUGGAUUUUCUGAACACUAGGGCCAUAUUUUUUGUUUACUCCCUCAAAAGUCGAUUCUCAUAUGUGUACCCGAUAUUUAUUUUUAUCCCGUCCUCGCAAAAUUUAUGACAUCUCAAAAGUUCAUGUGAUGAUAAACAUUAUCUUGUAGACGAUAUAUAGAAAAAGGCAUUGAUGUUAUUUACCUUUCAUAAGAAAGAAAUUUAACAUCAAGUAAUUGAAUAUCAUGAUCACUUUGUCUCAUCCUCUCCGCCGAUCGUAUGUACUACUUUUGACUAAUGUCAAUGUUAUUUAAAAAGAAGGUCGACAAAAGAAUGUUGGAAUGUACUAGAUACCAAUUAAAAGCUAAAAAUCACAAUUUUGAACAUUUUGUAUUAGUAGCAUAGCGUCAUGAUAUGAUCUGCAAGUGCAACACGCAUCAGCAUGAGGAUGCUUUCACCAUACUAUGGUUCUUGUUUAUCGACAUUGUUUUAGAAGGAAAAGAGGUUGUGUUCAAUAACAUUGAAUAUCAGACACGAUGCAGAUUUAAAAUCCCUUUUAUGUGGCAUCCAUAGUAUAAACAAACACCAGAUUUUACCACUAUGUAGAGAAAAGACUUGAGACCCUUAUUUAUGACCAAAACGUUGUGUAUAUGGUCAGGGGGGAGGGGGUCUGACCUACUAUAUGCGGAUUUAGAUUCCCAAAUAUCUCAAAUAAAGGGGGAUUUAGUUUGGAUUAAAAGAAAUUGGAUACGAAUUGGAUUCAGAUAUGACUUAAAAGUAGGAUUAGAAUCAGUUUUGGAUAUGACAUAGUCAGAUUUGGAUUGGAUUCAAAUGUGAAUUAAAAAAUCAGAUUCAAAUAUGACAUAGGCUCUUCGUGAUCUGCAUCCAAAUAUAAAUCCGAGCAUGUAAACGUUUGAUAAAUCAGAUAUGGCAAAUAGUACAUUCAAUUUGAAUCUAACAGGAUAUGGUAAAGAGUAAAUUCAAUUCAAAUUUGAUCCAUUGACAUUCCUAAGAUAGAUAAGAUAGAAGAUUCAAAAUACAGAUAGGAGAUUAAAAAGAGUUAGGACUGCAGAGUUUGCAUGGACACAGAUGUGCCGAGUUUGCACUACCGCUCAAGGAAGAAAAGCUUGUGCCCUAAACUAGACGUAGCGGUGUCGAGUUUGCACUACUGCCCAAGGGAGAAAAGGUUGCACCCUUUCAUCCUUUGUUUUGAAUUUUGAUGUUCCCAAGUAUCGCACUUCAAUCUAGAUAGAUAUAUUUUUAUGGGAAUUAGAACCAAAAGAAUUAUUUAAUUAGAUAGACUAAAACCACUGAACAUACUUAAAUGUUAAUGGCAAAAAUAUACAUCUUUUAAUUAUACUAUAACCACUGAGCAUACUUAAACGUAAAUGGCAAAAAUAUGCAUGUUGACAUAUUUCACAGUUCAUUCCUGUGUUUAGCCGGGACAUUGUGGCAAGCACAUGGUCUACGGCUUAUGCUAAGUUCAUUCAGUACUAAAACUUAGCAAAAUUGAGACAAAAUGACAAUGUGGUUCAAUAUCGAUUCUCAAACUUCAUAUAUAUAUAUAUAUAUAUAUAUAUAUAUAUAUAUAUAUAUAUAUAUAUAUAAUAUUAUUAUUUCAAACAUGGAAUUAAUAAAAUGUGAACUACAAACAGCAAGUUACACAAGAACAGAAAAAAAGAUCAAUCUCAAGAGAGGGAGACUCUCUCUCCUAGGAUAUCCUGCUGCUGCUUGAGCUCGCAGGCGGGAGGAGACUGGGGGCUGACCCCCAACGCAGCAAUCUCACGGUUAGCCCAAUGAUUAUUGUCAUGGAGACCUUUUUUAGGAGCAUCAAAGGUAAGAUGACUAACAAAAUUAUCAUUCCUCCUCACGUCCCUAGGCUGGGGAGAACUCCUGCUAUCCUUGCUUUCACAGAUGAUGUCCUCUUGUUUAGCACUGCCUGCCCCUGGUCUAUUCACCGAAUUAAGGUGUCGCUGCAGCGCUUGGAGGAGCAUGUCAGGUUGAAAAUCGAUGGUGACAAAUCUUCCAUUUUCCUCUUGUCCUCAACCUCCAUGAGCGAAUCUGAAGGCAUUUUUUCCAUAUUGGAGUGGAAGCGUGGCACCCUCCCUAUGCCCUGCCUUGGACUCCCAAUGUAUGGGGUAGGAGGCUCAAGUAGGAUUGGUGUUAGCCCCUCCUGGAUAAGGUGAACAAGCGGCUUGCAAGUUGCAACGUGGAAAUCGACGAUUCGCGGGGAGGCUAUAUCUUUAAAGCACGUGCUAACAUGUGUGAUUAACUAUUGGGGAUGGGAUUUUGUCUUGCCUAUACCUUGCAGUUUAAGAUGGCGAACUUUCUAUGGGGAGCUGGCGAAAAUGUUAAGGGGAAGCACCAAAUUGCAUGGGCUAAGCUCUGCAGGCUGACGUUCGAAGGUGGUCUGGGCCUCAAGAGAUUGGAGAACAGGUCCUCAGCUCAGCUUGCUAGAUGGGCAUUCUCCAUUUGUGAAAAAAUGCCAUUUGGUCAAAGUUCUGUUACAAGAAGUAUGCUGCACUAUGAGGAAUGUGGUCCGCCAGAUCAAGUACCAAACAUUCGUGGUUCUUCAAGCACUACUUCAAAGCCUGGUGCCAAAUCAAAGAUAAGGUAAUCUGGCAGCUCGGUCAAGGCGAUAUGAUGUUCUGGUUUGAAAAAUGGAGCAAUGUCACCCUCUUUGAAAACCUGGAGGCCGAGGAGAGGUAUCUCUUGGAAGGCUCCAAAAGAAUGACUGUCAAGGAGGUUCUGGAUUCUGAAUUAAAUCCUCGUUCCUGAAUUCUCAAACCUGCUGCAGAGGCUGCAAUUAGAGAAACCUCAACUGAGACCUGCAUCCGACGAGCUUGUUUAUGAUGGGGCUCCGGUCAAGGGGCUCAAAAUGUGUGAUAUAUGGGAAUCAGAGUUAAGGGGGCAGAGGAAGAGUGGAGAGCUCACCUAUGGAAUAAGGAUGCGCACCCGAGAGCCAGAUGGUUCACCUUCCUUGCUUGUCAGGGCAGACUCCCAACCUUUUAUAGGCAAAAAAGGAGGGGGCUGCAUCUCGCAAACAAGUGCUUAAUAUGUUGCUCUACUGAAGAAUCUAGCGCCCAUCCUUUUCUUCAGUCGUUUGGCCUGUAGGACAUGGCGUUUGGUAGCCAGCAGGUUGGGCGUAAUGGUUGUGGUGGCAGCAACAUUGUUUCGGAGUUGAAAAGGUGGUACAGUUGCAGCUUCAAGAGAGGCUGGGUAAUGCGAAGCUAGAGACUAUGUUUCCAAGAAGUGGUUUGGGCUACCUGGGACUGGCGAAAUGCCCAUGUCCAAGGCGACGCCAAUGAGCAACUCUUUGUCAUGCGCAAUCAGUUUUGGCUUCAUUGCAUUUCCAGUUUUGAAGCUUGUUUCUUGAACAACCCUAUGGCUAUGGACAACUUGAGAUGCUAGAUUAACUCUGGCAUCAUUCCUGGUAGAUGGGAGACUGUUUGGACGGAGGAGGGACAAAUACAGAUAGCCUCCAAAAAAAUCCAAGGUGGCCCUUGGGUGGCUGCAAGUAUUAAAUGGCCUGAACCUGAGGGGCAGAAAUAAUUUGAGAAGGAAAUGCUGCGUUUCAUUCUUAUCACUUCAAUUUUUGGGGGUGCACUACGAUUGCAAUAGGUUGUAACAACAAAUCCUGGACUAAGUAGCUCAGUGGGAGGCUGGAGAUGGAAGGUGGACGUCUUGGAUUCCCCAUCCUUUUUCAGGAGACUGCUUGCUCUUUUCGCAUAGUCAAACGAGAACCCAAUUGCUCACAUAAUCUCGCUUUUACCGCUGUAGUGUACUGCUUGGCCUCCCUCGUCAGCAGCAAUUUUGUAUUUCCUGAUAUAUUACCUGUUUUUCGUAUAUCAGCCUUAAUAAAAUUGGAGUCCAACUCCAGCAGGUUUGA